UGUUGGGGUAACGGCCCAACAAGCCAUUGAUCGGUACGGGUUGUGGGAGCAAGAGCCCGGAGAUGGAUUCUGAGACAUGAAUCCAGGCCCUACGGGGCGCAGCAGGCGCGAAAACUUUACAAUGCGAGCAAUCGUGAUAAGGAAACCCUGAGUGCCUGUCAAUGCAGGCUGUUCUGGUGUCUAACACACACCAGGAGAAAGGGCGGGGCAAGACCGGUGCCAGCCGCCGCGGUAAUACCGGCUGCUCGAGUGAUAGCCGCUUUUACUGGGCUUAAAGCGUUCGUAGCUUGGUCGUUAAGUCUCUGGGGAAAUCUUUUGGCUUAACCAAAAGGCGUCUCAGGGAAACUGGCGAUCUUGGAACCGGGAGAGGUAAGACGUACUUCGGGGGUAGGAGUGAAAUCUUGUAUCCCCGAGGGACGACCGAUGGCGAAGGCAUCUUACCAGAACGGCUUCGACAGUGAGGGACGAAAGCUGGGGGAGCAAACCGGAUUAGAU
RNAcentral lists this ribosomal RNA (495 nucleotides) under uncultured microorganism. RNAcentral's name for it is "bacterial SSU rRNA". It matches the Rfam family "Archaeal small subunit ribosomal RNA", at positions 234 to 734 of the family's 1478-position model. The record is from RNAcentral.